UGGGGAAUAUUGGACAAUGGGCGCAAGCCUGAUCCAGCAACGCCGCGUGGAGGACGAAGGCCUUUAGGGUCGUAAACUCCUGUCAGUAGGGACGAAAAAGUAGGGUCGAACAGGCCCUGCCAUUGACGGUACCUGCAGAGGAAGCCCCGGCUAACUCCGUGCCAGCAGCCGCGGUAAUACGGAGGGGGCAAGCGUUAUUCGGAUUUACUGGGCGUAAAGGGCGUGUAGGCGGCUUGAUAGGUCAAAAGGUGAAAGCCCUCGGCUCAACCGAGGAACUGCCUUUGAAACCAUCUGGCUCGAGGCCGGGAGGGGUAGUGGAAUUCCUGGUGUAGCGGUGAAAUGCGUAGAUAUCAGGAGGAACACCGGUGGCGAAGGCGGCU
RNAcentral lists this ribosomal RNA (380 nucleotides) under uncultured bacterium. Its description in RNAcentral is "bacterial SSU rRNA". It matches the Rfam family "Bacterial small subunit ribosomal RNA", at positions 355 to 726 of the family's 1533-position model. The record is from RNAcentral.